GCGGGUGUAGCUCAGUUGGUAGAGCGCCACCUUGCCAAGGUGACUGUCGAGAGUUCGAGUCUCUUCACCCGCUCCA
This 76-nucleotide transfer RNA is filed under the name bacterium. RNAcentral's name for it is "tRNA-Gly". It matches the Rfam family "tRNA". From Rfam's summary of the family: Transfer RNA (tRNA) molecules are approximately 80 nucleotides in length. The record is from RNAcentral. RNAcentral also lists the same sequence under 3 other names.